Molecule: ribosomal RNA, 253 nt
Filed under: uncultured bacterium
Lineage: Bacteria
Description: partial 16S ribosomal RNA
Rfam family: Bacterial small subunit ribosomal RNA
Source: RNAcentral
UACGAAGGGGGCUAGCGUUGCUCGGAAUCACUGGGCGUAAAGCGCACGUAGGCGGCUUUUUAAGUCAGGGGUGAAAUCCCGGAGCUCAACUCCAGAACUGCCUUUGAUACUGAGAAGCUUGAGUCCGGGAGAGGUGAGUGGAACUGCGAGUGUAGAGGUGAAAUUCGUAGAUAUUCGCAAGAACACCAGUGGCGAAGGCGGCUCACUGGCCCGGUACUGACGCUGAGGUGCGAAAGCGUGGGGAGCAAACAGG